Jaculus jaculus (lesser Egyptian jerboa) is the source of this 135-nucleotide small nucleolar RNA. The record is from Ensembl. NCBI's taxonomy places the organism in Eukaryota, Metazoa, Chordata, Mammalia, Rodentia, Dipodidae.
ACGCGCUGCCUUUGAGCCCCCGCCGCGCCUGCACGUGGCCGCGGGGGUCUAGCUGCGGCGCCACAGUUCGCGCUCGCGCAUAACUGGGGCCGCUUGGCACGCCGCGGGCGGCCCCUUUAACCGCGAGCCACAUCG